RNAcentral lists this ribosomal RNA (589 nucleotides) under uncultured bacterium. Its description in RNAcentral is "bacterial SSU rRNA". The stretch from base 7 to 391 matches the Rfam family "Bacterial small subunit ribosomal RNA", at positions 34 to 540 of the family's 1533-position model. The record is from RNAcentral.
AACGAACGCUGGCGGCAGGCUUAACACAUGCAAGUCGAACGCCCCGCAAGGGGAGUGGCAGACGGGUGAGUAACACGUGGGAAUGUACCUUUCAGUUCGGAACAACACAGAGAAAUUUGUGCUAAUACCGUAUACGUCCGUAAGGAGAAAGAUUUAUCGCUGAAAGAUCAGCCCGCGUCAGAUUAGGUAGUUGGUGGGGUAAUGGCCUACCAAGCCGACGAUCUGUAGCUGGUCUGAGAGGAUGAUCAGCCACACUGGGACUGAGACACGGCCCAGACUCCUACGGGAGGCAGCAGUGGGGAAUAUUGGACAAUGGGCGCAAGCCUGAUCCAGCCAUGCCGCGUGUGUGAAACGAACGCUGGCGGCAGGCUUAACACAUGCAAGUCGAGCGCCCCGCAAGGGGAGCGGCAGACGGGUGAGUAACGCGUGGGAAUCUACCCAUCUCUACGGAACAACAGUUGGAAACGACUGCUAAUACCGUAUACGCCCUUAGGGGGAAAGAUUUAUCGGAGAUGGAUGAGCCCGCGUUGGAUUAGCUAGUUGGUGGGGUAAAGGCCUACCAAGGCGACGAUCCAUAGCUGGUCUGAGA